RNAcentral lists this long non-coding RNA (518 nucleotides) under Homo sapiens (human). Its description in RNAcentral is "non-protein coding AZIN1-AS1:23". The record is from RNAcentral. Lineage: Eukaryota; Metazoa; Chordata; Mammalia; Primates; Hominidae.
AGCAUCUGUUGGAAGUUCUUAGGUGCGGCCAUCGCAGAAAACACACACAGGAGCUGGGGGAGAGGCACAGAGAAACAGUGUAGGAUCCAGCCAACAGGACCAGGACAGCACUGGCUACACUGGCUUAUCGAUUACAUCCCACAAUAGAAAGGAUGCUCAGGCAUAUGGCCUCAGAAACAUGGGCUAUUGAGACAGAGAAAAAGACAACUCUGGAAGGAGAGAGCCUGGCCUUACAGAAGACAUCUGAACUAUCAAUCAACAGAAAUCUCACGUAUAGUUGAAGAAUCAGAAAUCUGAGCGUAGGAAGAAGUGGGUUAGCCCUGGAGAAAGGAAAAGGAGGAUCAUGGUUCUCUGCAAAGAGCUGGAAGCUAAAAAGCAGGCUGUGUUUACUUACCAACCAGGACUCAGUGGGAUCUUUGCCAGCUUCCAAUAUGGCCUUAAAAGUAUAUGAAAUCCAAGAAAUAUUUCUGCAAAGCAAGAGAUCUUCACUGCUUUAUUUUCCACCACCUGAAUCCUUG